Drosophila melanogaster (fruit fly) is the source of this 988-nucleotide non-coding RNA. The record is from Ensembl. NCBI's taxonomy places the organism in Eukaryota, Metazoa, Arthropoda, Insecta, Diptera, Drosophilidae.
GUCAUAUUUCCGAAUGGCGUUCUAUAAUGGGACGCCUCUUGAAAUCUGUCUCCGCCCAUUUACAUAAGAACGUUCCCAUGGGCGAGCACAUAGUUUUCAAAAGGCCAGAUUCGAAGGGGCGUGGGAAAAAUCGAUGGGCUGUACCCCAGGACAAAAGGCCUAAAACUCUGGCGCUAUCGAUUUUCCACUCACCAGGUCCUUGUAGAGAUCCUUGCUAAUGUGCGGCGUCAGCUUGAGGGUGCCCACGAAGAUGAAGAAGAGGCCCAGCAGCACGGAGAGGCUCUUCAGCACGAUCGUAUUGGAUGCAGGAGGCAUCUUGGCCCGGUUAUGGGUAAAUACUCGGAGGGGCGGAGUUCACUGGGAGCCCCUAGCCAAUACAACACCCUACCAAAACACACCGGUCGCUAAUUUUAGACGAAUCUCUUAGCUUUUCGUGCCGAUUCGGACGAUGCGGAAAAAUACGCGACCACCAGCAAAUUGAGGCACACAAUCCGAAUGUUUUCAAGUUUUCAAAUCGCUGCGUUCGGAAAGAGACUGACUCGGAUUCGGAUUCAGAUUCACAUUCAGAGCAGUUGCAAAGUUUAUUUCGGCAGCAUCCCAAACGGAAUGGCGGAAAAUCAAUACGUGCUCACGGGACCGGUGCUCUGGCCGCAUCGAGAGUCAAGAGAGGACAGCCGCAGCCACAGCCGCGACAGGCCCACCCCGGAGAGUGGAGAGCACGGCGGAAUGGCGGAACGGCAGCUGGACCCACUUCACCAUCCUCGGGCAGUCGGCUCGGGUGGUGGUUGUUCCGAAAGUGGCGCAAAUGAGGCCAAAGACCCCGGCUAGCAACCCUUAAGGAGGCCCAGAUAAACAAUCAUUAGGUGAACAUGAGUGGCUUUCGCCAAAUGAAUGACACACAAAACUCGGAAACUCCUUGUGAAAUGAGAGUUUUAGUAAUUGAGAGCAGAUAUUACCAUUAGUGUAUUAAACAUAAUCUCAGUAUUAU